AAAGAUGGUUCGGCUAUCACUNCUGGAUGGGCCUGCGGUCGCAUACUUGUUGGUAGGGUNCAACGGCCUCCCAAAGGCAUUGAUGCGUUACCGAGUUUGAGAAGACUUGAUCGGCCACUAAUGGGAACUGAGACACGGUCCCAUACUCCUUAACGGGAAGGCAGCAGUUAGGGAAUCUUCCAACAAAUGGAGCGCAAGUCCUGAAUGGAAGCAACACCGCGUGAAUUGAAGAAAGGGUUUCGGCUCGUUAAAGCUCUGUUGUUGAAGAAAGAAACGUGCAGGAUGAGUAACUGUUCCUGCUAUUGACGGUAUUCAACCAGAAAGUCACGGCUAACUACGUGCCAGCAGCCGCGGUAAUACG
This 361-nucleotide ribosomal RNA is filed under the name uncultured bacterium. RNAcentral describes it as "bacterial SSU rRNA". It matches the Rfam family "Bacterial small subunit ribosomal RNA", at positions 202 to 527 of the family's 1533-position model. The record is from RNAcentral.